CUCAGCGCCCUCCAGCCGCUCGGGCCCGGCGGAGGCCCACUGCACAACAGUAGCUACAGAAACUGUUAGGAUCACCAUGUCCUGCCCUUCAUUCUUCAGCUGCCCUCGGUUUUUUUGGUCUGUGAGAGACUUUCAGAAGGCUAGGGAUUGAACAGAAGAACAAGUACUAAAGUCAAACAAGCUUUAAUUUUUCAAGAGAGAGAAAACAGGCCCGAUGUUGUAUUGAAAUCAAGUAUAAUUCCUGCUUUGUGAAGGCGAUAACCUGAACUCUCAAUCUGGGAAGCAAGC
Molecule: long non-coding RNA, 288 nt
Organism: Calidris pugnax (ruff)
Lineage: Eukaryota; Metazoa; Chordata; Aves; Charadriiformes; Scolopacidae
Exons: 3
Source: RefSeq, a predicted model, not a curated record